RNAcentral lists this long non-coding RNA (244 nucleotides) under Ictidomys tridecemlineatus (thirteen-lined ground squirrel). Its description in RNAcentral is "lncRNA (ENSSTOG00000031720.1)". The record is from RNAcentral. Lineage: Eukaryota; Metazoa; Chordata; Mammalia; Rodentia; Sciuridae.
ACAUACCUCUAAAGUGAAUUUCUUUCUAAUCAUUUCCAGUGCCAGUUUUACACUCCAUUUGCCGUCAGUGAAAAUGUGGGCGGCAGAUACACCACGUAUUUAUCAUCACUCGAGUUCACCAUAUCAUACAGGAAAAGAUAUCUUGAUUCUCCUCACAGUGAAUGUCUGGAACCAAAGGCAUCAUCUUUUACCUAACCUGUUUUCACCAGCCUCUUUUCUAUUAUCCUUUAGGGUCUUCAUCUGA